UACAUGGGGUGCAAACGUUGCUCGGAAUUAUUGGGCGUAAAGCGCACGUAGGUGGUCUGUUAUGUCGGAUGUGAAAGCCCUCGGCUCAACUGAGGAAGUGCAUCCGAAACUGGCAGGCUUGAGUAUGUAAGAGGGUCGCGGAAUUCCCGGUGUAGAGGUGAAAUGCGUAGAUAUUGGGAGGAACACCAGUGGCGAAGGCGGCUCACUGGACCGGUACUGACGCUGAUGCGCGAAAGCGUGGGGAGCAAACGGG
Molecule: ribosomal RNA, 253 nt
Filed under: uncultured bacterium
Lineage: Bacteria
Description: partial 16S ribosomal RNA
Rfam family: Bacterial small subunit ribosomal RNA
Source: RNAcentral